UGAGCAAUCUGCCCUUCUCUUCGGAAUAAACGUUGGAAACGACGUCUAAUGGCGAAUACGACCUCCUUUCGCAUGAUCGGAGGUGGAAAGCUCCGGCGGAGAAGGAUGAGCUCGCGGCCUAUCAGCUAGUUGGUGUGGGUAAUGGCCCACCAAGGCGACGACGGGUAGCCGGCCUGAGAGGGUGACCGGCCACACUAGGACUGAGACACGGCCCAGACUCCUACGGGAGCAGCAGG
This 236-nucleotide ribosomal RNA is filed under the name uncultured bacterium. RNAcentral's name for it is "partial 16S ribosomal RNA". It matches the Rfam family "Bacterial small subunit ribosomal RNA", at positions 118 to 354 of the family's 1533-position model. The record is from RNAcentral.